UACGGGGGGGGCAAGCGUUGUUCGGAAUUACUAGGCGUAAAGGGCUCGUAGGCGGCCAACUAAGUCGGAUGUGAAAUCCCCAGGCUCAACUUGGGAACUGCAUCCGAUCCUGGAUGGCUUGAAUUCGGGAGAGGGAUGCAGAAUUCCAGGUGUAGCGGUGAAAUGCGUAGAUAUCAAGAGGAACACCUGAGGUGAAGACGGGUUGCUGGGCUGACACUGACGCUGAGGCGCGAAAGCCAGGGGAGCAAACGGG
This 253-nucleotide ribosomal RNA is filed under the name uncultured bacterium. RNAcentral's name for it is "partial 16S ribosomal RNA". It matches the Rfam family "Bacterial small subunit ribosomal RNA", at positions 524 to 776 of the family's 1533-position model. The record is from RNAcentral.